Molecule: ribosomal RNA, 406 nt
Filed under: uncultured bacterium
Lineage: Bacteria
Description: partial 16S ribosomal RNA
Rfam family: Bacterial small subunit ribosomal RNA
Source: RNAcentral
AUUGAACGCUGGCGGCAGGCUUAACACAUGCAAGUCGAACGAGUGGCGGACGGGUGAGUAAUGUAUGGGAAACUGCCCGAUGGAGGGGGAUAACUACUGGAAAGGGUAGCUAAUACCGCAUACCAUCGGAUCGGCCCAUAUGGGAUUAGCUAGUGGGUGGGGUAAAGGCUCACCUAGGCGACGAUCCCUAGCUGGGCUGGGAGGAUGACCGGCCACACUGGAACUGAGAAACCGUCCAGACUCCUACGGGAGGCAGCAGUCGGGAAUAUUCGGCAAUGGGCGAAAGUCUGACACAGCAAUGCCGCGUGUGUGAAGAAGGUUUUCGGGUUGUAAAGCACUUUUAUCGGAGAAGCGUUAUCUGCAGAAGAAGCACCGGCUAACUCCGUGCCAGCAGCCGCGGUAAUAC